AUAAAGUGUCAUUAUUUUCAUGGUGAUCUUCUUGCAAAUGUUUCUAAUGAUGACCGCAUGUCUCUUGGACCAAUUCCAUCAAAUGUUUAUUUACCCCUCCAAGUUGAAUCUGUGACCCAUCCUUCCAUGUAGCUGCAAGCUCCUUUUGUCUUAUGAUUCCAGUUAUAGCAAGAAUGCUGAUAUGGAUAUGAUGCAACUCCUCUGAGUUGAGUCCUCCUGGCUCCAGGGCCAGUGCUCGGUCCACUGAGCAGUAUGUCCACUUGGCUACUAGACAAGGAUCUGAGAUGUGGAGUGCUACUUUUCAAAGAAAAAAAAGGUUCAAGAAGUGAGCCACGGGGGAUCUGGGCAUCUAGGAAUCCAGGCUGGAUGUUGCCAGAAACUCACACUGCCAGCUUUGGACUUGAACUUGAAGGGACUAGUGCUAUGUAGGAACUGGGCUAAACUGAGAGUAUAAUCCCCCUUCUCUUCCCAGAGACUGAGGUGGUGUAGGGGGAGAUCAUGCCCCUGAGGUAUUGAGGGGAAAUGUUUGUACGUUUGUUCUUGCUAUAUCUUUGAAGCAAAUACCCCUUCAUAAAAUAUCUGGUGCUAAGUGAUUAAAUGGAACUGGGGUACUAGGGACUGAGCCCCUAAACUAGGUGGAAUACAAUUGAUGGGGGGACAAAAACCAGAGAAGAGUGUUCCAAAUCCCUUCAAGGCAGGAUUUCUUAAUUUUUUUCCACUGUAAGUGUUUCAGUAGCAUUGUUGGUGUUAUGGGGUCUGAGGGCAUAUGCAGUGCAAAGUGCGCAUGCUUUGUGUUCAGAACCAAGGCUGCAGUGAAGUUGCCUGAUGCAUCUGGGCAAGUGGUAACAGAAACACCUUGGAUUCAUUACAUGUUUGAUUUUUAAUUACUUAUUUGUCAUUGUGUAUUCAAGAACCUCUUACUACUGCCAAAUUUUUCUGUACCCCAUAUGGGGUCGUGACCCACAGUUUAAGAAGCGCUGCUUCAGGAAACUGGAGAAUCCUAUAGGUGUAAAAUAUAGCAGGCUUCAUUCUUAGACAAUGGGGCCAGUGCAACUCAUGUUACACUUUGAUCAAAGUUCUGAGGUUCUUGAGGCAACUAGGUGGCACAGUAGAUAGAGCACCAGCCCUGGAGUCAGGAGAACCUGAGUUUAA
This is a long non-coding RNA of Phascolarctos cinereus (koala), 1152 nucleotides long. RefSeq lists it as uncharacterized. The record is from RefSeq and is a predicted model, not a curated record. Lineage: Eukaryota; Metazoa; Chordata; Mammalia; Diprotodontia; Phascolarctidae.